GGAGCGGUGGCGGAGUGGUCGAACGCGCCGGUUUCGAAAACCGGAGGCCCUCACGGGGCCCGCGGGUUCGAAUCCCGCCCGCUCCGCCA
Molecule: transfer RNA, 89 nt
Filed under: Mesorhizobium amorphae
Lineage: Bacteria; Pseudomonadati; Pseudomonadota; Alphaproteobacteria; Hyphomicrobiales; Phyllobacteriaceae
Description: tRNA-Ser
Rfam family: tRNA
About the family: Transfer RNA (tRNA) molecules are approximately 80 nucleotides in length. Their secondary structure includes four short double-helical elements and three loops (D, anti-codon, and T loops).
Source: RNAcentral